GCAUUUUAGGGUUCGUACAUGCCUUUCGGUUGUUUGCUUUGGCUUUAUAGCCUUGCAAGUGGCUGUUUGGCAUCGCGGCUUUGGGGAUGUCUACCGUAAAGGUGCAUGAGUGGUGUUUGGUUUGAUACAGGUGGUCGGCUCCCUGCUUGAGCAGGCACGGCCACGUGUUCAUUCCUUUUCAGCUAUGCGGCAAGGCUUGUAUCGUCUUGAUCGUAUAAGUGGGUUUCCUGUGUUGCAUACCUGAUCAAUGGCAUCGUUCUGAUCAAAAGCGUACCGUUUUCGUCUAGCGUUGCACUCGCAUCGUUGGAUGAACAAGGAAGCAUCUUCUUUGAUCCAAUCAUAAGACGUGCAAGCGUUGAUUGUUUGGCUCAUUGAAUGGUGACUCGGUUUCUCGAAUAUGGAAGCCAAAGUAGGCAUGGGCUCGCAAGAUCCUUUAUUGCCUUCAUUGAGCGUUCUCGCUUCUCUUACACGACCGCCUUUCACGUAUGGCACGUCCCAGCGUGUUUGGCUACGUCGAAGAGGAAUGCUACCUGGUUGAU
RNAcentral lists this unclassified non-coding RNA (539 nucleotides) under Pityopsis flexuosa. RNAcentral's name for it is "partial contains external transcribed spacer and 18S ribosomal RNA". Lineage: Eukaryota; Viridiplantae; Streptophyta; Magnoliopsida; Asterales; Asteraceae. The record is from RNAcentral.